Molecule: long non-coding RNA, 599 nt
Filed under: Homo sapiens (human)
Lineage: Eukaryota; Metazoa; Chordata; Mammalia; Primates; Hominidae
Description: HSALNT0323417
Source: RNAcentral
CAACUUCCCAGCAACAGACCUACAUUGAGCUCUUAACGUAGCAUUAUUUCUCAAAGAUCUCAACUACUUACUUGGUGGGAUCAGAGUCUUGCUUUGUCACUCAAUCUGACAUUCAGUGGCACGAUCAUGGCUCACUAUAACCUCAAACUCCUGGGCUCAAGGAUCCUCCCACCUCAGACUCCCAAGUAGCUGCUCUACAGGCUCCUGGAAGAUGACGGCAUCUGAUGAAGUGCUCUGGUGCUUCCAACUAUAUCAUCAUUCUGUUAGAAAACCAAACACAUGAAGAGCCCAAUCAACACCCUGGGAGAACGAGGCAUCUCAUGUGAACCCCCAUCAAAGUGCGAAGCCUCAGAAUUAUAAUUAAGAAGAAGACUUUGAGGACUUCCUUCUUAUUCCUCCCUUUGUAUGGAUAUGAUGCCUGGAGGUAGACCACAUGGCUUUCUUCAUGAGGACAAAAGACCUACACAAAACAUGGUUGUGCAGAAAGUUAGAAGGAUCCUGAUUCAUUUACAUUAUGAUUGAGCUACCAGAAAAUUUCUAGACACUCUACCCUUAAAUUUUUGUUGUGCAAGACAAAUAAAUCUGUUUUGUAAAAACCA